UCGCUUCAGCAGCACAUAUACUACAAUUGGAACAAUACAGAGAAGAUUAGCAUGGCCCCUGAGCAAGGAUGACAUGCAAAUUCAAGAAGCAUUCCAUAUUUUU
Molecule: small nuclear RNA, 103 nt
Filed under: Bos grunniens (domestic yak)
Lineage: Eukaryota; Metazoa; Chordata; Mammalia; Artiodactyla; Bovidae
Source: RNAcentral